UGUGUAGGUGGCUGAUUAAGUCAAAGAUGAAAUCCCGAGGCUCAACUUCGGAAUGGUUAUUGAUACUGAUCAGCUUGAGGCUAGAUGAGGAGAGCGGAAUUCCCGGUGGAGCGGUGAAAUGCGUAGAUAUCGGGAGGAACACCAGAGGCGUAGGCGGUUCUCUAACCUAGUCCUGACACUGAGACACGAAAGCUAGGGGAGCAAACGGGAUUAGAUACCCCGGUAGUCCUAGCUGUAAACGAUGGACACUAGAUGUUCUCACGUUUAUGUGGGAGUGUCGUAGCUAACGCGUUAAGUGUCCCGCCUGGGGAGUACGGUCGCAAGGCUGAA
RNAcentral lists this ribosomal RNA (330 nucleotides) under uncultured bacterium. RNAcentral describes it as "bacterial SSU rRNA". It matches the Rfam family "Bacterial small subunit ribosomal RNA", at positions 568 to 898 of the family's 1533-position model. The record is from RNAcentral.